CGAGCCCAACCUCCCACCCGUGUUUACCGUAACCGCGUUGCCUCGGCGGGCCCACUGGGGCCUGUCCCCGGUCGCCGGGGGGCAUCUGCCCCCGGGCCCGCGCCCGCCGAAGCGCCCUGGAACCCUGUCUGAAUAGUGAGUCUGAGUGAAUGAUUGAAUCAUUAAAACUUUCAACAACGGAUCUCUUGGUUCCGGCAUCGAUGAAGAACGCAGCGAAAUGCGAUAAUUAAUGUGAAUUGCAGAAUUCCGUGAAUCAUCGAGUUUUUGAACGCACAUUGCGCCCCCUGGCAUUCCGGGGGGCAUGCCUGUCCGAGCGUCAUUUCUGCCCUCCAGCCCGGCUGGGUGUUGGGCGCUGUCCCCCCGGGGACACGCCCCAAAGGCAGUGGCGGCGCCGCAUGGGUCCUCGAGCGUAUGGGGCUUUGUCACCCGCUCUGAGGGACUCGUCGGCGCUGGUCUUCCCCCAGGCGGCCCGUCUCGGGCUCGUCUUCUUCCGGUGACCUCGGAUCAGGUAGGGCUACCCGCUGAACUUAAGCAUAUCA
Molecule: ribosomal RNA, 539 nt
Filed under: Talaromyces wortmannii
Lineage: Eukaryota; Fungi; Ascomycota; Eurotiomycetes; Eurotiales; Trichocomaceae
Description: eukaryotic LSU rRNA
Rfam family: 5.8S ribosomal RNA (bases 166-319)
Source: RNAcentral